CUGAAACAUUAACAGGUUAAUUUCUCAUGUUUCCUUUGCAGGAGUCUACCCCUACCCACUGUGAAGCUUCUAGAGAGCAAAAAUUAAAAGCACUUCCCAGGACACAUUUUUCAACUAUAAAGAAAGGUUUCUCCUCUUCCUUCAGAGCAAGGCUGAUCCAGAGCUGCUGCGGAAUACAUACCAUUGGAGGAUAAAGGGAAUAGGAAGAGUGAAGAGAAGGAAAUGGGG
RNAcentral lists this long non-coding RNA (228 nucleotides) under Monodelphis domestica (gray short-tailed opossum). RNAcentral's name for it is "lncRNA (ENSMODG00000041940.1)". Lineage: Eukaryota; Metazoa; Chordata; Mammalia; Didelphimorphia; Didelphidae. The record is from RNAcentral.